This 254-nucleotide ribosomal RNA is filed under the name uncultured bacterium. RNAcentral's name for it is "partial 16S ribosomal RNA". It matches the Rfam family "Bacterial small subunit ribosomal RNA", at positions 524 to 776 of the family's 1533-position model. The record is from RNAcentral.
UACGAAGGGGGCGAGCGUUGUUCGGAAUUACUGGGCGUAAAGGGCGCGCAGGCGGCUCUGAAAGUCAGAUGUGAAAGCCCCGGGCUUAACCUGGGAAUUGCAUUUGAUACUCUGGAGCUUGAGUACGGGAGAGGAGAGUGGAAUUCCCAGUGUGGAGGUGAAAUUCGUAGAUAUUGGGAAGAACACCGGUGGCGAAGGCGGCUCUCUGGACCGUAACUGACGCUGAGGCGCGAAAGCGUGGGGGAGCAAACAGG